GUCGGGAACUCAAAGGAGACUGCCAGUGAUAAACUGGAGGAAGGUGGGGAUGACGUCAAGUCAUCAUGGCCCUUACGACCAGGGCUACACACGUGCUACAAUGGCGCAUACAAAGAGAAGCGACCUCGCGAGAGCAAGCGGACCUCAUAAAGUGCGUCGUAGUCCGGAUUGGAGUCUGCAACUCGACUCCAUGAAGUCGGAAUCGCUAGUAAUCGUGGAUCAGAAUGCCACGGUGAAUACGUUCCCGGGCCUUGUACACACCGCCCGUCACACCAUGGGAGUGGGUUGCAAAAGAAGUAGGUAGCUUAACCUUCGGGAGGGCGCUUACCACUUUGUGAUUCAUGACUGGGGUGAAGUCGUAACAAGGUAACCGUAGGGGAACCUGC
Molecule: ribosomal RNA, 386 nt
Filed under: Salmonella enterica subsp. enterica serovar Oranienburg
Lineage: Bacteria; Pseudomonadati; Pseudomonadota; Gammaproteobacteria; Enterobacterales; Enterobacteriaceae
Also listed under: 3 other names
Description: partial 16S ribosomal RNA
Rfam family: Bacterial small subunit ribosomal RNA
Source: RNAcentral